AAAUUGCGAAAACUAAUGUGAAUUGCAAACUCUGUGAAUCAUCGAGUCUUUGAACGCAUCUUGCGCCCUUUGGCUCUCCAAAGGGCAUACCUGUUUGAGCAUCAUUUGAAUUAUCAGGCGGUUCUUUUCAUUUCUCUUCAUCGAAGGGAAACUGAAUCCGCCUGGACUUGAGGAUUAGGGUGUUACAACCCUUACCUUUAAAUUCGGUGCGUAACUCGAGCUUCGUGGUGACACGACUAGCUAGCUUUAUUAAUAAUAUCGCUUGCGUUUUAACGUUGUAUCACAUUGUACACGCUGUUCAUAUAGAGUAUCGCUUCCUAGGAAACUGUCAUUCUAAUCGAAUGACAACUUAAUUGAUCUCAAAUCAGGUAAGACUACCCGCUGAACUUAA
This 391-nucleotide unclassified non-coding RNA is filed under the name uncultured fungus. Its description in RNAcentral is "sequence contains ITS1". The stretch from base 1 to 104 matches the Rfam family "5.8S ribosomal RNA", at positions 50 to 154 of the family's 154-position model. The record is from RNAcentral. Lineage: Eukaryota; Fungi.